AUGGCUGAGGAAGACACUGCUGCUGGAGGUGCAGUGGAUGUUAAUACUGCUUUAAAAGAGGUGCUGAAGACCACUCUCAUCCAGGUCAGCCUAGCACAAGGAAUUUGCGAAGCUGUCAAAGCGUCAGACAAGAGCCAAGCCCAUCUUUGUGGCUUUCAUCUAACUGUGAUGAGCCUGUGUAUGUCAAAUUGAUGGAGGCCCUUUGAGCUGAACACCAAAUCCACCUAAUUAAGGUUGAUGACAAGAAACUAGGGUAAUGGGUAGGUCUCUGUAAAACUGACAGAGAGGGAAACCCCAUAAAAUGGUUGGUUGUAGUUGUGUGGUAGGACUAUGGGAAA
This 338-nucleotide long non-coding RNA is filed under the name Homo sapiens (human). Its description in RNAcentral is "non-protein coding lnc-SESN1-2:1". Lineage: Eukaryota; Metazoa; Chordata; Mammalia; Primates; Hominidae. The record is from RNAcentral.